RNAcentral lists this non-coding RNA (29 nucleotides) under Rattus norvegicus (Norway rat). Lineage: Eukaryota; Metazoa; Chordata; Mammalia; Rodentia; Muridae. The record is from RNAcentral.
UCAUCUUCUAAGGAAAUGGUUUGGACAGC